Molecule: non-coding RNA, 529 nt
Filed under: Charadrius vociferus (killdeer)
Lineage: Eukaryota; Metazoa; Chordata; Aves; Charadriiformes; Charadriidae
Description: Eukaryotic small subunit ribosomal RNA
Rfam family: Eukaryotic small subunit ribosomal RNA
Source: Rfam by way of RNAcentral
UUUAUAGUUGAAGUAAAGUGAGGCAAAGAAGGAACAGAACAGGGAGCUUUUUACGCUGUGGGUUAGAAAGAAAGUUUUGAAGAAAAAACAACUCUUCUCACUGCCAAUCCAGAGUCGCCCUCGCUCAUGCUAGUUAGAACAAGGUCAGUCACAGAAACGGUAAGAAAACACUGUUGGCCAGACUGUCCUUUCUGCUGGAAUAGCCUCCACUGAAAACAGUACCGCUCCUACUUCUUGAAAAAAACCAAACCAACACAACCCAACACUUUAGAGUGCACUCAUUGAGAAGUUUGAUACAUUUUUCUGAAGAAAUAGAAGUGCUCAAAGCUCGCUGGCCAACAGCGCACUCCAGCCAGGAAUAACAGAAUAGGACUUUGGCUCUUUUCUUGUUGUUUUUUGGAAGCAGGGCCGUGAUUAAGAGCAAUGUCUGCAGGCAUUCAUAUUGUGCCACUUGAACUGGAAUUCUUGGAGCAGUGCAAGAUGAACUAAAGCAGAAGCAUUUGCCAAGAAUGUUUUCAUUAAUCAAGAA